CGCCAGUCGGCGCUGGCGUAGCUCGGCUCAGCCCGGCGGAGUCUGACUUCCGGAGGGCCAGCGGCGCGCUGGCUGGUUACCAAGGUUACCGCCGAGAGGCCGCGUCCUCAGCUGGUCCUAGACAUGCGUGGCGUCGGGGCUGUGGCACGGUCGGGUCCGGGGACACUUGUUUAACAAGACAUCUGCCCAUGUCCCUGGCCCAUCUCAUUGGCUGCAGCACAUCACAGUGGACCUUCUGCCUCCUCCCAGAUGCCCAGGGACAGUGAUCUGGAAGGAAGGGGCUUGAGGCUGUUUUCCUAGAACUCGACUUGAAUGCACCAAGGAAAGGCCAUUUGUGGGGACAUAGCAAGAAGGCAGCUGUCUGCAAGCCAGGAGGAGAACCCUCACCAGAAACCUCACAGAAAUCGGCCAACACCCUCAUCUCGGGCUUCCAGCUUCAGAACAACGAGAAAACAAAUUUCUGUUGUGUCCUGGUUCCCAUUUGUAAUUGGCACCCUAAUGAAACCGUUUUCUGUAGCCCUGGAAAUGGCUGAAAAUGAGGGGAGGGAAAUAAAGUGCUAUAAUUCAGAGCAUGGAGCACACCUUCCUGGUUCACCUGAGCUGGAUUCGGAGAGGUAAAAUGGCCAUUACCUCGUCUAAGCUGCCACUUACAGACACAGUACAGGAUGAGGCCCAGACCCACAGAGACAACGAUGAUGGCCACAGCUAAGAUGAUCCAGAAAUUAUUCCUCCACCAGCUCAUUGCAGUGGAAUCCUGAGAAGAAUGGAGAGAGAAGAAUGAGCUUCUUGCAUGACUGCCUGAAAUCCGCCUCCUGUCAGAUCAGCAGGGGCAUUGGAUUAUGAUAGGAGUGAGAACACCAUUGUGGACUGCGCAUGCCAGGGAUCUAGGUUCCGCGCUCCUUAUGAGAAUCUGAUGCCUGAUGAUCUGUCACUGUCUCCCAUCACCCCCAGAUGGGACUGUCUAGUUGAAGAAAAACAAGUUCAGGGCUCCCACUGAUGCUACGUUACGAGAUGAAAAGUACACUGAAUGGAAUUUGCAGCAGAUUACACACUGCAGACCACAGAUUAAUGAAUUUGACACAGUAAUAGAAAUUAUCCGGGCGGGCCGUGGUGGCUCACACCUGUAAUCCCAGCACUUUGGGAGGCCGAGGAAGGCGGAUCACCUGAGGUCAGGAGUUCGAGACCAGCCUGGCCAACAUAGAGAAACCCAGUCUUUACUAAA
Molecule: long non-coding RNA, 1222 nt
Filed under: Homo sapiens (human)
Lineage: Eukaryota; Metazoa; Chordata; Mammalia; Primates; Hominidae
Description: HSALNT0388185
Source: RNAcentral